AUAGAUCUUCGGGGCAGGGUGAGAUUCCCUACUGGCAGUGAUGCAGCGAAAGCUGAUAGGUCUGCGACCCAUGCAAUGCAUGGCUGAACCGGUCAGAAUCCGGUACCAACAGUUACAGUCUGGAUGAAAGAAGAGAAAA
RNAcentral lists this non-coding RNA (139 nucleotides) under Clostridium sp. Its description in RNAcentral is "FMN sequence". It matches the Rfam family "FMN riboswitch aptamer (RFN element)". From Rfam's summary of the family: The RFN element is a highly conserved domain that is found frequently in the 5'-untranslated regions of prokaryotic mRNAs that encode for flavin mononucleotide (FMN) biosynthesis and transport proteins. The record is from RNAcentral. Lineage: Bacteria; Bacillati; Bacillota; Clostridia; Eubacteriales; Clostridiaceae. RNAcentral also lists the same sequence under 1 other name.